UUAAGCGACUAAGCGUACACGGUGGAUGCCCUGGCAGUCAGAGGCGAUGAAGGACGUGCUAAUCUGCGAUAAGCGUCGGUAAGGUGAUAUGAACCGUUAUAACCGGCGAUUUCCGAAUGGGGAAACCCAGUGUGAUUCGUCACACUAUCAUUAACUGAAUCCAUAGGUUAAUGAGGCGAACCGGGGGAACUGAAACAUCUAAGUACCCCGAGGAAAAGAAAUCAACCGAGAUUCCCCCAGUAGCGGCGAGCGAACGGGGAGCAGCCCAGAGCCUGAAUCAGUGUGUGUGUUAGUGGAAGCGUCUGGAAAGGCGCGCGAUACAGGGUGACAGCCCCGUACACAAAAAUGCACAUACUGUGAGCUCGAUGAGUAGGGCGGGACACGUGGUAUCCUGUCUGAAUAUGGGGGGACCAUCCUCCAAGGCUAAAUACUCCUGACUGACCGAUAGUGAACCAGUACCGUGAGGGAAAGGCGAAAAGAACCCCGGCGAGGGGAGUGAAAAAGAACCUGAAACCGUGUACGUACAAGCAGUGGGAGCACAGAGCAAUCUGUGUGACUGCGUACCUUUUGUAUAAUGGGUCAGCGACUUAUAUUCUGUAGCAAGGUUAACCGAAUAGGGGAGCCGAAGGGAAACCGAGUCUUAACUGGGCGUUAAGUUGCAGGGUAUAGACCCGAAACCCGGUGAUCUAGCCAUGGGCAGGUUGAAGGUUGGGUAACACUAACUGGAGGACCGAACCGACUAAUGUUGAAAAAUUAGCGGAUGACUUGUGGCUGGGGGUGAAAGGCCAAUCAAACCGGGAGAUAGCUGGUUCUCCCCGAAAGCUAUUUAGGUAGCGCCUCGUGAAUUCAUCUCCGGGGGUAGAGCACUGUUUCGGCAAGGGGGUCAUCCCGACUUACCAACCCGAUGCAAACUGCGAAUACCGGAGAAUGUUAUCACGGGAGACACACGGCGGGUGCUAACGUCCGUCGUGAAGAGGGAAACAACCCAGACCGCCAGCUAAGGUCCCAAAGUCAUGGUUAAGUGGGAAACGAUGUGGGAAGGCCCAGACAGCCAGGAUGUUGGCUUAGAAGCAGCCAUCAUUUAAAGAAAGCGUAAUAGCUCACUGGUCGAGUCGGCCUGCGCGGAAGAUGUAACGGGGCUAAACCAUGCACCGAAGCUGCGGCAGCGACGCUUAUGCGUUGUUGGGUAGGGGAGCGUUCUGUAAGCCUGCGAAGGUGUGCUGUGAGGCAUGCUGGAGGUAUCAGAAGUGCGAAUGCUGACAUAAGUAACGAUAAAGCGGGUGAAAAGCCCGCUCGCCGGAAGACCAAGGGUUCCUGUCCAACGUUAAUCGGGGCAGGGUGAGUCGACCCCUAAGGCGAGGCCGAAAGGCGUAGUCGAUGGGAAACAGGUUAAUAUUCCUGUACUUGGUGUUACUGCGAAGGGGGGACGGAGAAGGCUAUGUUGGCCGGGCGACGGUUGUCCCGGUUUAAGCGUGUAGGCUGGUUUUCCAGGCAAAUCCGGAAAAUCAAGGCUGAGGCGUGAUGACGAGGCACUACGGUGCUGAAGCAACAAAUGCCCUGCUUCCAGGAAAAGCCUCUAAGCAUCAGGUAACAUCAAAUCGUACCCCAAACCGACACAGGUGGUCAGGUAGAGAAUACCAAGGCGCUUGAGAGAACUCGGGUGAAGGAACUAGGCAAAAUGGUGCCGUAACUUCGGGAGAAGGCACGCUGAUAUGUAGGUGAAGUCCCUCGCGGAUGGAGCUGAAAUCAGUCGAAGAUACCAGCUGGCUGCAACUGUUUAUUAAAAACACAGCACUGUGCAAACACGAAAGUGGACGUAUACGGUGUGACGCCUGCCCGGUGCCGGAAGGUUAAUUGAUGGGGUUAGCGCAAGCGAAGCUCUUGAUCGAAGCCCCGGUAAACGGCGGCCGUAACUAUAACGGUCCUAAGGUAGCGAAAUUCCUUGUCGGGUAAGUUCCGACCUGCACGAAUGGCGUAAUGAUGGCCAGGCUGUCUCCACCCGAGACUCAGUGAAAUUGAACUCGCUGUGAAGAUGCAGUGUACCCGCGGCAAGACGGAAAGACCCCGUGAACCUUUACUAUAGCUUGACACUGAACAUUGAGCCUUGAUGUGUAGGAUAGGUGGGAGGCUUUGAAGUGUGGACGCCAGUCUGCAUGGAGCCGACCUUGAAAUACCACCCUUUAAUGUUUGAUGUUCUAACGUUGACCCGUAAUCCGGGUUGCGGACAGUGUCUGGUGGGUAGUUUGACUGGGGCGGUCUCCUCCUAAAGAGUAACGGAGGAGCACGAAGGUUGGCUAAUCCUGGUCGGACAUCAGGAGGUUAGUGCAAUGGCAUAAGCCAGCUUGACUGCGAGCGUGACGGCGCGAGCAGGUGCGAAAGCAGGUCAUAGUGAUCCGGUGGUUCUGAAUGGAAGGGCCAUCGCUCAACGGAUAAAAGGUACUCCGGGGAUAACAGGCUGAUACCGCCCAAGAGUUCAUAUCGACGGCGGUGUUUGGCACCUCGAUGUCGGCUCAUCACAUCCUGGGGCUGAAGUAGGUCCCAAGGGUAUGGCUGUUCGCCAUUUAAAGUGGUACGCGAGCUGGGUUUAGAACGUCGUGAGACAGUUCGGUCCCUAUCUGCCGUGGGCGCUGGAGAAUUGAGGGGGGCUGCUCCUAGUACGAGAGGACCGGAGUGGACGCAUCACUGGUGUUCGGGUUGUCAUGCCAAUGGCACUGCCCGGUAGCUAAAUGCGGAAGAGAUAAGUGCUGAAAGCAUCUAAGCACGAAACUUGCCCCGAGAUGAGUUCUCCCUGACUCCUUGAGAGUCCUGAAGGAACGUUGAAGACGACGACGUUGAUAGGCCGGGUGUGUAAGCGCAGCGAUGCGUUGAGCUAACCGGUACUAAUGAACCGUGAGGCUUAACCUU
RNAcentral lists this ribosomal RNA (2904 nucleotides) under Escherichia coli. RNAcentral describes it as "bacterial LSU rRNA". It matches the Rfam family "Bacterial large subunit ribosomal RNA". RNAcentral also lists the same sequence under 1 other name. Lineage: Bacteria; Pseudomonadati; Pseudomonadota; Gammaproteobacteria; Enterobacterales; Enterobacteriaceae. The record is from RNAcentral.